AUACUUAGGGUGCAAGCGUUAAUCGGAAUUACUGGGCGUAAAGCGCUCGUAGGCGGCUUGUAAAGUCGGAUGUGAAAUCCCCGGGCUCAACCUGGGAACUGCAUUCGAUACUGGCAGGCUAGAGUAUAGUAGAGGCAAGUGGAAUUUCGGGUGUAGCGGUGAAAUGCGUAGAUAUCCGAAGGAACAUCAGUGGCGAAGGCGACUUGCUGGACUAAUACUGACGCUGAGGAGCGAAAGCGUGGGGAGCAAACGGGAUUAGAUACCCCAGUAGUCC
This 274-nucleotide ribosomal RNA is filed under the name uncultured bacterium. Its description in RNAcentral is "partial 16S ribosomal RNA". It matches the Rfam family "Bacterial small subunit ribosomal RNA", at positions 523 to 796 of the family's 1533-position model. The record is from RNAcentral.